AUGGGGUUUAGUGCAUAUCAAAAGAUAUCGGCGGCAAUGCGGGUACUCGCUUAUGGCAUACCCGCGGAUUAUACUAACGAGUAUCUUCGCAUUAGGCAAGAUACAACCACGGAGUCAGCCCGUCGGUUUGCCAAGUUGGUCAUCCGGUUGUACGGUGAGCAGUAUCUUCGGGCACCAAACGAGGAAGAUACAAAGAGAUUAAUGGAAAUGAAUGAAAAAGGGGGAUGGCCGGGGAUGCUAGGUAGUCUUGAUUUCAUGCAUUGGAGGUGA
Molecule: ribosomal RNA, 270 nt
Filed under: Triticum aestivum (bread wheat)
Lineage: Eukaryota; Viridiplantae; Streptophyta; Magnoliopsida; Poales; Poaceae
Description: partial small subunit ribosomal RNA
Source: RNAcentral